This is an RNA transcript of Tachysurus vachellii, 3522 nucleotides long. It is a transcript of the gene named kinesin light chain 1a, with no coding region annotated. The transcript has 16 exons. The record is from RefSeq and is a predicted model, not a curated record. NCBI's taxonomy places the organism in Eukaryota, Metazoa, Chordata, Actinopteri, Siluriformes, Bagridae.
GCUAUUCUCUCCAGAGCGGCGCGGAGAGAAGCUCAUCGCACACAGUGCACCUUCACCGCCUCACCGGAUGGGCUGCUCAUUCAGAGCCCCAACACUCAGCUCUCCUUUUUGAAAGAAAAAAAAAAUAAACUAAACGUCAAACAUUACUGAGUAAACAUUUUGACGCGACUUGAUGUUCUACAGAACCGAUGCGUGAGGAAAUGUCGAGUGUGGUGUGUGUGAAGGAGAUGGAGGGGCAGGGUGACCCUGCAGAAAAGCUGUCCCAGGAUGAGCUGCUGUGUCGGACACGGGAGGUGAUGCAGGGGUUGGAGGCUCUGCGUGCUGAACACCAGGCCAUCCUCGAGGGUCUGAUGGGAACGCUGCGUUGCCUCAAACAAACCCAGGAAGGCCGUGCUGUAGAAGAAAAGACUGUCAUGAUUCAACGCUCACUGGAAAUGCUAGAGCUCGGUCUGAGUGAAGCGCAGGUAAUGAUGGCUCUUUCAGGGCACCUGAGCGCAGUAGAGGCUGAGAAACAGAAGCUUCGUGCACAGGUCCGGCGGCUGUGCCAGGAGAAUCAGUGGCUGCGUGAUGAGCUGGCAGGAACACAGCAGCGACUGCAGAAGAGUGAGCAGAGCGUGGCCCAGCUGGAGGAGGAAAAGAAGCACCUGGAGUUCAUGAAUCAGCUAAAAAAAUAUGACCAAGACCUCAGCCCAACAGAUGACAAAGACUCUGACUCGAGCAGAGAGACUCUGGAUGAUCUCUUCCCUGAUGAUCAGGAUGAGCCAGCCUCUGGCAUCCAGCCUACACACAGCAGUGCUGUAGCAGCAGCUCAGCAGGGAGGCUAUGAGAUUCCAGCCCGGCUCCGAACCCUGCACAACCUCGUGAUCCAGUAUGCUUCUCAGGGCCGUUAUGAGGUGGCCGUGCCACUGUGUAAACAGGCACUGGAGGACUUGGAAAAGACCUCAGGCCACAACCACCCUGAUGUUGCAACAAUGCUCAACAUUCUCGCCCUUGUCUACAGGGACCAGAAUAAGUACAAAGAGGCUGCAAACCUUCUGAAUGACGCACUCGAUAUCAGAGAGAAAACACUGGGCAAAGACCAUCCUGCGGUGGCCGCUACACUGAAUAAUUUGGCUGUCCUUUAUGGUAAGCGUGGGAAAUACAAAGAGGCAGAACCACUAUGCAAAAGAGCACUGGAGAUCAGAGAAAAGGUGCUAGGGAAGGACCACCCAGAUGUGGCAAAGCAGCUGAAUAACUUGGCUUUGCUGUGUCAGAACCAGGGCAAGUAUGAGGAGGUGGAAUAUUACUACCAGAGAGCGCUUAAAAUCUAUCAGACCAAGCUGGGCCCUGAUGACCCCAAUGUAGCCAAGACCAAAAACAAUCUGGCCUCAUGUUAUCUGAAGCAAGGGAAGUUUAAGCAAGCAGAGACUCUCUAUAAAGAGAUCCUAACACGAGCGCAUGAGAGGGAGUUUGGCUCUGUAGAUGGUGAGAACAAGCCUAUCUGGAUGCAUGCAGAGGAGAGAGAGGAACAGAGUAAAGGGAAGCAGAAAGAUGGCUCCCCAUUUGUAGAGUAUGGUGGUUGGUACAAGGCCUGCAAAGUGGACAGCCCAACUGUAACAACCACACUGAAGAACCUGGGUGCACUGUACAGGCGGCAGGGCAAGUUUGAGGCUGCUGAGACUCUGGAGGAGGCUGCGAUGCGCUCCAAAAAAAAGGGUCUGGAUUCAACCAAUAAACAGCGUGUGGCUGAGGUUCUGGGGGAUCCAGAGGCUCGGGAGAAGCAGAGCAGCAGAGAGAGUCUAAUCUCUGACACGGUGAAGUACGAGAGUGGCCCAGAUGGGGGAGAGGAAGUGUAACUCCAGGUGCCUUGUUGUGGUUGUUGAACUUAUCUUCAGCAUGAUGGACACUCGCCUCACUUCACUCUGCACCUUUGUCCUUUUCCGUCUGCUCUCUCCGACUGGCUCCUUUCUUCGUCCUCCUGCUAAACCUCAUCUGGGCUCUAGCUGGCCAAAGAAGCUCAGAUAGGCUUAAACAUGGCUUUUUCUCUUUGUCAGAGCUGACUCAUAUGUGGCACUGUAGAACAAUUAUAUAUAUUUCCUUGAUACUAACGACACAGGAACCGCUCUUGAUCUAUUUAACUGUCUUUACUCUCUGUGUAUCUGUCUGUCAAUCUAAAAACACUCUUACGUACUGACUUGUACAGAUUUGUGAUUGUGUGGUGUUAACACUACUGUGGUGCCUCUUGCAUUGCUCUCGUAUGUAGUCAAUGUUCCGUUUGUCCGAAUUUAAACUCCCUUCCACACGGCACCAGAGUGAAAAUCCUUUUCUGCUAAUUUAGAUCUUACAGUGAUAAUGCAUGUUUAGAAUAGUAUGCAGAUCAUGUAUAAUAUUAAUCUGAUGGUCAAUGCAGACCAUCACACUAUAUAUAUGAUGACCUAAGGCAAGAACUGAUGGUAAUUUUGCUUAACACUCAUGGACAUGACACAUAACUCAAAUUGUGUCCUACUGCUUCUGUUCUAAUAUGGACAUAAGCCACCUUUAAUCUAUUCCACUGGACUCACAAAUCUUUUUUUUCAUACCCUUGUACAAGUCUUAUAUGUAUUUGUUUCUCAUUUACUCUCCCUGCUUCUGCCAGCCCCCUCAGUGGGCUUUAACUUUAAUUCUGAGUGCUUAAUCUGGGACUCACACUAAUGGCAGCAGGCAGAGUUUUUCACUCAUUUGAGUAUCUUCAUGACAUCUAUUUUGUGUGAUGUACAGAUCUGUGUUUAUCCAGUAACCCACACAUUGAUGCUCACUUUCUGUCCCUUUCUAAUUCACAUCUUUUUCACUUCUCCAUCUAUCAGUAAAAAAGAAACUAGACAGCCAAGCUCCCUGUACAGUAGCAUGAUUAUAUCUUUUGAACUGCUGUCUAAACUUGGUGUACAGUACUGCCUAUUGUUCCCUUUUCUACUUAAUGGGUCCUGUAGGUGGUGCCUGAUGGAUAGACAAAAAGAGAAAAUGUAAGGAGUAGAUAAGUAGAAAAAAGAGAAACAAAUGAAACGAACAGGGACGUGUUUUGGCAGUUGUAUGCACAUCUUUUCCUAUUAGUCUGCUAUCUGAUGAUGCUGCAUCUUGUCUUUCCUAACUCUAAUAAAACUGACUGUGUGCUUACCACAGCUUUUGCCUGUUUCCUUGUAUGUCUCCAUACCUAUGUGCAAGUCAUCUCUUACACUACUCUUGUGCAACUUGACCUGUGUGUGUGUCUGUGUGUGUGUGUGUCUGUUAUUAAAUGCAAUUAAUUAUAAUUAGUUUGGUGGUGGUGGUCAAUUUUUUUGUUUUGUGUCAGUGCUCUGUCUUUCUUGACCUGUACUUUUUGUAUAUCUUGGGUCAUUUCCUUCACACCUUACUCGGCUGUUUGGAUAAGGAGAAGUGCUCAGGGCACACAACAGAGGAGACUGCAGCAGAGCGAAGAGGGGAUGGCUCAGGCUCGUUGAAGCGCAGUGGCUCCUUCAGUAAACUCCGAGCCUCGAUUCGCCGGAGCAGCGAGAAACUCGUCCGCAAACU